GUGUGUGUCUGUACUGUACGUUUUCUACAGGUCUGAGUGUGCUGCUGUCUAGCACACUUCUGCAUUUGUCCUGUCUGUCUCUCGGCUUCCUCUUCUUUCAUUCCCUUCACAAAGCCCUUCUGCCAUCUCUAUUCUGUCUUUCAGCUGAUAAGGGAUGCCGAACACAGAGAGAGACUGUCUAAGGACCCUCUUUAGACAUGAAACCCAGAGUUGGGCCACUUCUCGGGGGACCAGAGAGUCUGUCUGCCUGGCCUCCAUCCAUCAAACCUGGUGGUCUUUAGGAAACUUUAACCUGCUUUAACCUGCUGAGGUAAAUUAUGCUAAAUUUGUUUUAAAGCUGCAGUCCGUAACAUUUUGUUGGUUAACCAGCCAGUGUUCAAAACUAUCUCCUUACCUUUAGCCUGAUUCACAACAGUAAGCUUGUAAUAAUGGUUUUUAAUAUGAGAGUGUGGGGGAAAUUUUGAGUUUCUGUAUAAUUUACGUAUGAUUUUACUUAUAUGCUUAUGGUUAAAUGAUUUUGUUUUUCUCAGAAGUGUUUAAGUAUGCAUUUUUGGGUGAUAAGUGGAAAAACACUGAAGUGGUAAACAUGUUCCUAAUAUGGUAAAAGGACAGAGGCUUCAGCCUUGGAGGUCAGAGAUAUAAAAGUGAGGGGAAGCUUUCAUUCUUUGUCUUACACUCUGCAGCUACUGGUGUUUCUGUUGACUGUUUGACCUUUCUUGCAAGAAAUAAAACUUUCGAAAGACAAUUGGAUGUGUUUAUCUUUUAUGCAGUAGAGUCAGUGUUGAUUUUUUUGCCACAACAAGAGGAACUGGUAGGUUUUCGCGGGAAAUACGAGUUUGCCUUUGCGUCAUUACGUCACGUCUGUAUACAUAAAGAAGGAGUCCCGGACACUGCAGGUGGCGGAUCAUUUGAAGACUCUUUUACAGCAGCUGUAAUAAUUAAGCUUGUCAUUUUGAGGGUGGAAUGUAAUCAGGAACGGUAAAGGCGAACAUCAUCAUUGACAAAUGGUGAAUCACCAGUAGGCCUAGUAAAAAAGACUGCGGAGUGGCAAAAAAGCAAAAAAAGGGAAUACGACCAGGCCCGUGCGAAACAAGAAUAAAAAUAUCGGCAGGGCUUUUGAAAGGUGGCGUGAACUCUGUUUUGGUUAAAAACGGACACAGAGAUUGCUUUUUUCUGCUGGACAGCCUGUACUAUCCACUCCAGGAUUCAGGCAAGUCAGCUAAAGUGGCCGGGAUCAGAUUUCAUCUCUUCACACUGUGAUGUCAGCACAUGCUGUGGAUCUGAGCUACCCAAAAGACACUGUGGCUCGUGUCCAGUUAUCGACCUAAUAUUGACCUCUAAUGCACCUGAAUCCUCUAUCCUGAGACUGGAUGAGCGAUCUGAGAUAUUCCAUCCACCUCUACAGGGUCAGCCAAACUCUCAAAGGACGUUUUCAAGAAACAAUUCUGCAGUCACAUGAAAGACUUUUGACUGCCCAGCGCAGAAGGAGAGCUCAAGCCUGCUGUGAUGAAUGAGCCAGACCUGAGGACUGAGCCAAACAUCGCCCUGGAGCCUGAGCCCCACAGUGAGUCUGACCAGGUGUGUGAGCCGGCAACAUCAUGUCCCACCGUGAGAUGCUAAUAGAGGUUGAGGAAAUGGAGGAAGACCUCACCCACACUGCCACCACUGAGGGUGAGCUGAAGCUGACCUCUGCAGCUUUCUGCAUCUUAUAACUAUUUUGAAGAGGAUGUUUACCUGAAUCUCCCAUCCCUGUUGGUACUGUCCAGCUCAAGUUCUCCUGUGUUUCGGCUGGUUCCACCGAGCUCAAAGUCUCCUGCGUUCCCACUGGUCCCUUCCAGCUAAAAGUCUCCUGUGUCUCCAGAGUUCCUGCCCAGCCUCCCUCUCCCGCCUCCUCUUCAAAAGGUCAGCUACACAUCUGACGCCACUCUACAGUGUGCAAUUGCCUCUGGUCUUCCAGUCUCCAGCUCCGCCUAGUAAAGAGGAUCCUCCGGCUCCACCUCCAGCCGCUGAUCCCGUCACUUUACCUCAGCCCUUUGACCUGUCGGCACCGCCUUGGCUCUUCCCUACCUCGGCUCCACCAGGGACCACUGGCCUUAAAGCUCCACCGGGUUUUCUCGUCCCUCCGGCUCCACCUUGGUUAGAUGACGCUCUGCCAUCUCCAUCCAUCAUCCCCCUUGUGUUGACAGCCAAGCCUCCACCAUGGCUCCUCCCUUCCUCGACUCCGCUGUGGGCCAUCUUCCUGGCUGCGCUCUGGGUUCCUACCUGGCUUCUCUUGCUCCUGUCUCCUCCCAUUGCCAUUGCUGCCCUGGUCUCUCCUGCCACCAACUCCUCUGGUUCCCUGUUCUUCACCAACCCUUUGUCUUCCUCCAGAGCCUCCGCCCUCCCUCCUCAGUUAGACUCGUUUAGGAUGCGCCUUCCUGAGGUGGGGAGGGUGUGUAAUGUUAUGUGUACAGUCAGUUUUGGUUUUGUUUUCUCUGUGUUCUGUUCCUGUUUGCCUGUGUUCCCUUUGUUAGUUUGUCUCUAUGGUUUUUGAUUGAGUUCACACAUGUUCCUGGUUAUGUUAAUUAUCCCUGUAUGGGAUAAUUUAAAAUUAUAAGUCCUGAGUCCUGAGUUUCUUUAGUUCUGUGUACAGUUCUGUGUCUGGUAUCUAUGUAAUGUGGUUGUGUUUUCUUAAGCUCCUGCAAUCUCUUGAUUGUUCUUUGUGGAUUCAAUAAAGACUGUUUAUUUUGGA
Molecule: long non-coding RNA, 2731 nt
Organism: Ctenopharyngodon idella (grass carp)
Lineage: Eukaryota; Metazoa; Chordata; Actinopteri; Cypriniformes; Xenocyprididae
Exons: 5
Source: RefSeq, a predicted model, not a curated record